AGUUCUGCAGACAGGUGAGCAAAUAUUUGUAGCAACCCCAUCCCCAUUCCACCCCAGGUCCCUGUAUCUCCACAUGCUGGCACCAUUCUCAAAUGUUAGUGUCUUUCUUUAUUUCUUCCAGCUGUUAUGACAAAGCUUUCCCUGCUGGGUAACAUAAUUACAUUUCUGGUCACCACUGGUAUUGGAGAUCAUAUAUUCACUAUGUGUGCAGAAGGAAGAAAUGUAAAAAUAACACGUGAUCUUUCUGACUUCUGGUCAUAAUGUUAACUAUAUAACAAUGUAACAUUUUGAGAGCAAAAACGUGAUAUUUUCAUUCAUGUAUGUAUUGCAUCUAUUUCUCCUCCCCCCCCCCAUCUAGCAGGAUUUAGUUCUGUCUAAUGCUGAAAUUUACUUGUAGCAGGUCUCUUUAAGUAUUAGUUGUUCAUUAUUGCUACUGGGGUUCGUUUUCAUUGCUAAUGAAUUAAUCUAGAUGCUCUAGGUAGAGGAAACCACAAAAAGACCUGAUUAAGCAAGUGUUUCCUCUUCCCUGGCUUGGAGUGAUGCUAAGUGCAGAAAACAUGAGAGAAUAUUUAGCUGGCCUAAGAAAAAUGUGCAAACUUAAACUAAUGGUUUUUCAGUGCUGCCUGUCUGCCAUUAUUGUGCAUUUAGGACACCCCAAUAAACUGCAAUGUAUUUUCUGGGUACCAGGAAUUACUUAUUUAAAUCUAAGCCAGCUAUAGUUCGAAAACACCUGCUCACACACUAUUGUACCUGACAUGCAAAGACAAGUUGAUUUCCAUCAUGUCCGUGUCAGUUUCCCAACAGGUAAAAACUGGCAUCAUUCCUUGGCAGGAGUUGCAAGCUAAAUUAUUGUUCUGGCUGAUCCCUAUGCUGAAGCGAUCCCACACAGGCUUUUUCUACACCCUGGAAUAAUCAGCAAAAUUGCAAGCAGUUAUUACUGUAAAUUCAUCUGGUUGUGCAGAAUGACUCAUUAGAUUUAGACUCUAUGGCAUUGUGCUGUUCGAAGUAUAACAGGUGCAUCUGAAGGCAGUUCUCACCAUCUGCAAAGAAUGCCUUGAAGGAUUAAGGCGAGCUUAAGCACUGUGAUUUUCAUGAGCAUUGGUGGUAGAAGGAUAGGGGAUGGGGACUCCCAAAGGUAUUUGAAGAUUUAUAUACUUGUUCAAACAACUGAGCCCAAACAGGUAUGAGGCAUGAUUCAGCUAAGUCAGGUGCUGUUGAAAACAUGUUGAUUUCCAGCUAAGAUUUCUUACCUCUCUCUUCUGAAAUCAGUUGCACUCUGAAAUCAAUUGGCUGAAUUGCACCAAAUAAUGGUUAAAAUUGUCUUUCGGCCAAAUAAUGUUUAUUAGUGUGAAUUUCUCCAACUAGAGAGUCUUUUAUGAAACUUGGCACACAUUUUUUGCAAAGUGAUUUCCCAUUAUAUAAUGCUUUCUCAAGCAUGCCAUUUUCACUAAUAUAUGUGGUUUAUGCACACUUUAUCCUAGUAUGUGCAUUUUUUGUAUACAUUACUUGGCCAGAGAAUUGCACUGUUAGAUGCAAGGAAGUGUACAUUUUGAAGGAUGUUUGUGUUUUGGUUUACAAACUGUUUCAAAAAGUAUGAAUUAGGUAGGUUCAGCUAUAAAUGCAAACUGAGUUGAAUUUCUCCUCCAUCUCUAGUGUAUUUUGCCUAGAUUAGUGACCACCAGAGACAGGGCCUUCUCUGUGGUAGUCCCAUGGCUUUGGAAGUCUGUUCCAGUAGCAAUCUGUUACUCUUCAGGAUUUUUGAAAAGCUCCAAAGAUGUUCUGGUUUUGAUUGGCCUUUCCUUGAGUAGGCGCCAUCUAUUUGCUAGAGUGGAUUAUGGUAUAAAGGAUUUGAAUGGGUUUUAUUAUUUUGUGUGUGUUUUGUACUAUUUUGUAAUAUAAAUGCAGCUUUUAUUGUUGCAAACUGCUUUGGAUAGACUUUUCACAUAGCAACCAUGACUCUCUUUGCCAAUUUGAACCGAGAUGUGAUUAAUGAGAUUACUCCAGAGCAAGCAGUCUGAGGAUGAAGCUCUCAUUUUAUUGGAAAUAAGUUUCCAAAGAACUCUGAAGGUAUUUUUUCACCUCCAAAUAAAUGUGUUUAAUCUGGGCUCCAGUUAUUUAAGUGGAAAAGCCACUUCACACCUAACUGUGACUUUUUCAUUUUGAUUCCUCCUUGAGCUCUGACUGUGUAUGACUGGCUGUGCUUAACUUAGAAAGAAGGUGUUGCAGCGUUAGACUAAAGCAGGGUUAUGGGCAACACUUUGAAUUUGAAAAGAUGUAAAGAAAAGAUCAAAGUCUGUUAUGUUAAUUUUACAGCAGCUAUAGUUAGCCACCAGUCAGCUGCUUCAAUAUGCAUUUUAGCAAUUAUUGAAGAGUGACAUUCCAAGGGUUUCUUUCCUCCAGCCAGUGUAUGAACUGGUCUCUUAGAUUACUUUUUAAAGCAUGGUUAAAGAUAUGAUCAGAACUACAAUGGUUAUGCAAACUAGGGAGAAGAGGUAUGAGUGGCAUUUGGCUAUUUAUGGCUAACAGCAUUUGGUUCUGCCUGAUUCUGUGGAAUAGCAGCCAAGUCUUCUAAAUCUGACUGACCAUUCAGGAUGUCAAUUUCAUGCCAAUCUGUCCCUUAAAUCUUUUAUUGCUGCUUUCAUUGCUGUAUGGAAAGAGGACCUUUUACUGAAUAAUGGAAGAGACAACCAAUCAGGUGCCUUGCCACCAUCUCCUAUUUGGGGGGCUGUAGAAGAGGGUGAAUAGUUAUUGUAAAAAUGGUAACUCUUCUUUCAAAUGGACCUGAAAACACUGCUAUUCUUUGCCACAGUUCUGACAGAGCAGAGAACUCACUGGAUAAAACAUAACUGGCACCCUGAUCCUAUUGAAUUAUUUAUUGUUUCAUCAAAGUUUUUCAGAAUGCAGUGUUUUCCAGCACCCACUCUGUUGUUGCAAAUCUAGAGUUAGUGAACGUUAGAAAUUAGUAAAAUGGCAGAAUUUUGAUGACAUUUGGAGUAUUAAAGGGAAGAUGCCAGACCAGUGGAAAAAAGUACAGGCUAAGUUUCCUUUUCAGACCAGGGCGGCACUUGGGAUUGAGGCCAUUAAGCAUGACAAAAGGUGUUGAUGGCUCAUCACAGAGAAGUCCUUGGGUCCCUUGGCAACAGUCGGUUGCCAAGGUUAUCCUGAGCGAUGAUGUAGGUUGCAGAAAAAUUGUCACCUUUUAAUACUAGGCUUGGGAUAGCAGACAGAAGGGGAGGAGUUGUUUGGCAAGGGGUUUUCUGGGAACAAGAAGGAGGAAGUUGGUGUAACUUGAUGCAGGGGCUGAAGGGCAGAACCAUCCAGACGGGCUGGCAGGCAGGCUGGGACAGAGACACAGAAAUGUCUGGGAAUCGGAUGCUGUACUCCUGAGGGGAACAAGCCCCUCUUGAGAUGUGAAUGCCGUAAACUCUGCACUCCAUCCACUGAAAGCUUCCAGUGUAAAUACAUGUAGGAUAAGCUAUAUUUCUUAGAUACAACAGUCUGCGCUGCGUCUUGAUUUCCUACAGAAACACAACCCUGGGUAAGCGCCUGGAAUCUUGCUACCACUUGGCAGAGAUUGGGGAUGGCACGAAACCUUUGUAACACUAUUUAUCUUUACAUGUGCCCCUCUAAAGCCAUGUUCUAGAAUACAGGCAACUCUCCACUUAUGUGGGGCUUACAUUCCAGGCCCCUGUGAGCAGAAGAGAAAUGUGUGUUAAGUUGGGAGCCUGCUGCAAUACAUACAACUUCCCACCCAACAGCUGUUGAGUUGGGUAGCAUGGCAGCAGCAAGAGAUCCCAUGUGCCAUUUUGGAGCCCUUGGAAUCUCCCCGCCCCCCACUGGACAUUUGGCUCACAGACGUUCUACAGAAUUAGACCUGCAAUGCUGAAUGCUUCUGGUGGACAUGAGCCAUGCAUCUGAGCCAUGGGAGACCACUCACAAAGCCUCCCCAAAGGUCAGUAUAAUAGUAGAAAGGCAAAGACAAACUCUGUUCACACACAAAAAUAAUAAGAAUCAUGAAAUUAACAGCAAGUUUUAGAGUUAUGAAUUAAAAUACUUUAAAAACAAG
Molecule: non-coding RNA, 4066 nt
Organism: Podarcis lilfordi (Lilford's wall lizard)
Lineage: Eukaryota; Metazoa; Chordata; Lepidosauria; Squamata; Lacertidae
Source: the annotation of a GenBank genome assembly